UCCACUGGUGUGAACUCAGGAUUCCGCAUUAGGUCCUGGAAAGCUGUGCAGCUUUUAACCACAGCUCUUGUUGUGACCAGUUUUUUUCUGUUUUCUGCAUUUUCUAAUGAAUUUGCCCUCAACGCAGUCACAUUUGAAUGACAGAGACUAAAAACCACUUCCUGGGGAGUCACGAACACACUUGCGAGAAAGAAAUGGAGAACUGAUUUACAUCAAGCUGCACUCCAUUACUCCUCCUCACUGGAUCAAACUGGCAGCGAUGCAGCUUGGUCAUCCAGUCACCAUCAGCACUUCUCUCCAAAUCCCUCCCCAACCUCAGAGUCUGAUAUCCAGGAGCCGACACCCAUUCCUGCUGGACUCCAUCCAGCCCGUGUUGGUCAGGGCUAUCAUCAAUCCAAAACGGGGGAUGGAGGAACCUCUCCAGCCGCAGACUCCACAAAGCCCCAGUAACUGCAGCUCAUCGGGACCUGGUGGGAAAUCCUGCUGGAGUUUAGACCUGAGGGUGGCUAUUCUUCUGCUUACUCUGGCAGGAGCAGUAAUCCUCCUGCUGCUGUACAGACUGUUACAGCUGAGACACAGGUGUGUACAUGUGUAAUAACAUGUAGCCAAAAGGUAAAUUGAUGUCAGGCUUGUUUGGCUGAGGAUGGCCAGAGCGAGGCAUGCUUUGGAGUACACCAGCUUCUACCACAGUGGCACCUACACACUCAAACACCCCACACCUUGUCAGGAGCUGCCAGAGAAGAACAGGGCAGUACCUGAAGACACUGCACCACUCCAAACCAUAACCUCAAUGACACCUGCUGUCAUCACCCCAGUGCCACCUCCAUCGCUGCCCUCACCGGCACCCCCUCCACUGCCACUCCCCCCACCUCCUGUCCUACCACGUCCACCUCUUCACCCUCCAGUUUCUCUCCCUCCAACACCCCCUGUCCUGUCACUCCCUCUUCCCGUGCCUGUCAUCCACACCACCCCGCCCAGCCCUCACCUGUCAUGGGGUGCCUGCUCAGAUGCAGAUGUUUAUUCUCGGAUUGGGACUUUCAGGCCAUCCAGGCUUUCCAACCUCUCCAACCAGUCGACGGUCAUCCUGUUUGAACACUCAUCUGUUUGAACUCUCACAGAAUGUGUGUGAUCUCCUCAAGGAGUCUGUGACUGUGACAAGGAUUACAAGAUGUUUCCUGUACUCUAUGUUUGUGUGUGUAAUAUACAGCAAAAUAUAAGAGGUUAACGUUUCAAAACUUUAAAACAUGAAGUUUGCACUUUGUCAGCCACUGAAGGGCUUUAUUGACAAAAAAAAAAGAAAGAAAAAAGCAGAUGCAAUAAAAUUGCAA
Molecule: RNA transcript, 1328 nt
Organism: Pundamilia nyererei
Lineage: Eukaryota; Metazoa; Chordata; Actinopteri; Cichliformes; Cichlidae
Gene name: amyloid beta A4 precursor protein-binding family B member 1-interacting protein-like
Exons: 3
Source: RefSeq, a predicted model, not a curated record